This 490-nucleotide ribosomal RNA is filed under the name uncultured bacterium. RNAcentral describes it as "partial 16S ribosomal RNA". It matches the Rfam family "Bacterial small subunit ribosomal RNA", at positions 30 to 507 of the family's 1533-position model. The record is from RNAcentral.
AUUGAACGCUGGCGGCAGGCCUAACACAUGCAAGUCGAACGGUAACAGGAAGAAGCUUGCUUCUUUGCUGACGAGUGGCGGACGGGUGAGUAAUGUCUGGGAAACUGCCUGAUGGAGGGGGAUAACUACUGGAAACGGUAGCUAAUACCGCAUAACGUCGCAAGACCAAAGAGGGGGACCUUCGGGCCUCUUGCCAUCGGAUGUGCCCAGAUGGGAUUAGCUAGUAGGUGGGGUAACGGCUCACCUAGGCGACGAUCCCUAGCUGGUCUGAGAGGAUGACCAGCCACACUGGAACUGAGACACGGUCCAGACUCCUACGAGAGGCAGCAGUGGGGAAUAUUGCACAAUGGGCGCAAGCCUGAUGCAGCCAUGCCGCGUGUAUGAAGAAGGCCUUCGGGUUGUAAAGUACUUUCAGCGGGGAGGAAGGGAGUAAAGUUAAUACCUUUGCUCAUUGACGGUACCCGCAGAAGAAGCACCGGCUAACUCCGUG